Molecule: regulatory RNA element, 139 nt
Organism: Bacteroides pectinophilus CAG:437
Lineage: Bacteria; Bacillati; Bacillota; Clostridia; Eubacteriales
Rfam family: Ribosomal protein L10 leader
About the family: This family is a putative r-protein leader autoregulatory structure found in B. subtilis and other low-GC Gram-positive bacteria.
Source: Rfam
AUUACAAGUAAUGAACUGCCGAAGACAGCUAGGUCCCGCAAGGGUCAAAGGUAACACGCCUGCCGAGGAAUCAAUCAAAUCAUUAGUGUUUGAGAUUAUAGCCUCGUCUGUGUGCAGACGGGGCUUUUCUUAUAAUGUC